GGGCCCGUAGCUCAGUGGUAGAGCAAACGACUCUUAAUCGUUUGGCCGAGCGUUCGAAUCGCUCCGGGCUCA
Candidatus Beckwithbacteria bacterium is the source of this 72-nucleotide non-coding RNA. The record is from Rfam. NCBI's taxonomy places the organism in Bacteria, Candidatus Beckwithiibacteriota.